Molecule: microRNA precursor, 125 nt
Filed under: Brassica oleracea var. oleracea
Lineage: Eukaryota; Viridiplantae; Streptophyta; Magnoliopsida; Brassicales; Brassicaceae
Description: MIR9563 microRNA precursor family
Rfam family: MIR9563 microRNA precursor family
Source: Rfam by way of RNAcentral
GGAAUAUAAGAAUCCGUCUCUUAACUUUUAACUAAAAAAGUUAAGAACCGGCUCUCAAUUAAGAUAUUUAAGAGCCGGUUCUUAACUUUUUUAGUUAAAAGUUAAGAAACGGGUUCUUAUAUUCC